CCUACGGGAGGCAGCAGUGGGGAAUAUUGGGCAAUGGGCGCAAGCCUGACCCAGCAACGCCGCGUGAAGGAAGAAGGCUUUCGGGUUGUAAACUUCUUCUCUGAGGGACGAAGAAAGUGACGGUACCUCAGGAAUAAGCCACGGCUAACUACGUGCCAGCAGCCGCGGUAAUACGUAGGUGGCAAGCGUUAUCCGGAUUUAUUGGGUGUAAGGGCCGUGUAGCGGGGAAACAA
RNAcentral lists this ribosomal RNA (233 nucleotides) under uncultured bacterium. RNAcentral describes it as "partial 16S ribosomal RNA". It matches the Rfam family "Bacterial small subunit ribosomal RNA", at positions 338 to 585 of the family's 1533-position model. The record is from RNAcentral.